UGAAGAUCCUGGGAAUUAUAAUGCUCUAUAGUACGAUCAUCCUCCUUGAGUGCUGGUUCAGAUUCUUCAAAAAACCAAAGAUGGAAACACAAGAACCAACCUAUGUCAACAGUGAGAUGGCGGCUAAGGCAUCAUGAGCCACAAGAAGAUCAGGAAGAUGUCAAGGCUUCUGUCAGUGGGAGGAUUUCUUAUUUUUGACCAUUCAUCUAUCUUUUCUUUUCUUUGUCCAAUUGUUGAAGUUCAGGGUCUGAAGAGGCUGCUUCCUGUCUGCAAAGGACAACAGGUUAAAGGUUGAAUACACCCUGGAUAGGUUACCAGUCCAUCACAUCACCAUACAUCUUGAAACUUGUUUCUGCAUUUACAUGUGUAUUCAUGGAGUAAAUCGUAGCACUUAUAAAUGAGGCCUAAAAAUGCUCAAAAUAAAAAGGUUUUUGAAGUGAAGCAGAAAUUUAGCUGAAUGUAAAAUAUUUCUCUCUGAACGGUAGAAGGUGAUCAGUUUUAAGUGCCAGCUUUGUACUUAUUAUUGCUACUAAUAAGUGUCAUUUUUAUUGGAUUUUAAAAAUGUACACUAGAUAUUUCAGCUGACAGCAAAAGGCAUAAAAUGUAAAGCAUAAAUGUUUACCAGUCUUG
Girardinichthys multiradiatus is the source of this 630-nucleotide long non-coding RNA. RefSeq lists it as uncharacterized. The transcript has 3 exons. The record is from RefSeq and is a predicted model, not a curated record. NCBI's taxonomy places the organism in Eukaryota, Metazoa, Chordata, Actinopteri, Cyprinodontiformes, Goodeidae.